CACAGAGCUACUGAGAGGCCAGCAGCGUUCAGUAGCAGUCUUGUUGCAGAGACACAGGAGACCAGAAGUUUCUCUGGCCCUUGUACAAUGAGCACAGAGUCGGCUUCUGCUGGAACUGUUGUUGAUGGGUUAGGUCUUCACAGAGAAUUUCCUGGAAGAGAAUACUCACUGUUUUCUUCUUCCUGCCCAUGGACUUUAGAUACCAGCUUGAAGAAUAACUUGAGUGAGAUGCAGCAGGAGUUGGAAGAAAUAACUUCAGGACUAGAAGUAGGUGCUGCUGGAUACAGUCCUCUAGAAGAGUUCUCCUCUAGGAUACAUUAAUGAGUCAAGUCUAAAUGAAUAUAUUCUUUGGAAGGCAUCUCAACAAUAUAUGCCAAUUUUUUUUUAAAUUAUAUGAUGUGAAAGACUUUUAAUUGGAUCUUGCCAAUGAAAGCCAAUUUUAUAUCCUCAAACUGUCAAAGUAUUUAGAUCAUGUGUGUUUUGACAAGUGUAUCACAGAAGUGAUCCUGUGGAUCUUCUCUUUGCAUCCUAACAUGGGAUCUACAUCUGAUUUGUCUUAUUCCUGAUGAUGUUAGCAUUGACCGCUAAUGGUGGUAUCUGCUGUGUUUGAGAUUUGACUUGCUGAAUGAGCCAAGCAUAGUACCUGAAAUAAAUCUAACUCAGUCAGGUGAUACUGGCUUUAUAAAACUAUUUGGCAUCCACAGCUCAUGAGAAUUAUUCACAAAUAUCCCCUCUUGCCCCUGGGUUUUGUGAUUGGGACCUGAGUGUACUGGAUCUGACAUGUGGGCCCAUCCUCUGGGCCCUGGAGAUCAAUCCCUGAACAUAGCAGGGAGAAGCAUACUGUUCCCAAGUCCCUCCUGGGAUGCUCAAGCUGGAUCAAUGUCCCUCCACUUCGGGCUGUGUCCCACUCUGCUGAAGUCACCAGCAACAGUACCAGGAAUGGCCAGCAGGCAGUGCACUCACAGUCCAAGCACCUCUUUUUUCUGCUACAGGACCUCCAGAGAAAAGGACCCACUGCACUCAUGUGGCUCCUGCAGUCUGGGCCAGAGUUGAGAAAUGUCUGUGUUGGGAUGAGGAAGAUGGAACCAGAAUGUUUGGGGCACCCUGGUGAAGACAAAGGCAGCAGGCAGGGGAUGGAGAACAGCUUCCUACUUUGUCUGUUGCUACCACUCCAAAGUGAAAAUCAUAAUGCCUACUUUUGCCAGAUGGGAAAUAGAAGAUGAGCUCCUUUGUUGGUGCCAGUAAUACCAGCAGGCAAGAACAUCAAAGCAUGGCUGCUUCUGUUCAGUGGAUAUGAAGUAGAUAAUCUGCUCCCCGAUGGACUCCACUGGAACCAUCCUGGUAUUUCAUUGCAGUUGGUGGUCCUGAUUGGAGGCUUCCGCAGCACUCUCUCCAGAGCAUAUGGGAAGAAAUUGAAGACCCAAGGAACUCAUCAUUGUGUUAUUCCCCACACCACAGGAUUUUUGCGCUUUCAAUGUGGUGAAGUUGAACACUAUAAGUGAGAGAUUGAAGAAAGCACAAGAAAGGCACAAGCAGCAUCUGAAGAAUACAGAGAACUUCACUUAGAAGUCAGAUGGAACUCAGAAUGAAAGAUCUUGAAUCUGAAGUCUCCAACAGGAAAACUUCUUGAGAAGUCUUUCAUUAUAUUGAAUUGGGAAAAUACAAGCACCUCUAUCAAUUAGACUUGGAAGCUAGAAAAUACUUGUCAAACAAAAUUAAAAAUCUUCACAGAACUACUGAGAGACUAGCAGCAUUCAGUAGCAAUCUUUUUGUGGAGACAGGAGACCAGAACUUUCUUUACCACUCAUGGACAGUCCUAUAGUCACCUCCUGGUGGCAAUCUUAAUAAUGGUUUAGGUCUUCACAGAGAAUUUACUUCAAAAGAAUACUCAACGUUCUCUUUUUCCUGCCCAUGGACUUCACAUACCGGCAUGAAGAACAACUUGAGUGAGAACUCCAUGGAAUGCCAAACAUGGUGCCCAUGUCCCCUGAAGAUGUAAGAAGAGCAUCCCAAUCCAAAAUUUGAUUUCACCAAAGAAUCUAUUUCUGGAAAAUCUCAAAAUGUAUUCAACAAUGAAAAGCUACGAUGCUGCUGGAUAUUCUCCUGUGGAAGAGCUUCUUCUCUAGAUUCACUGAUGAGUCAAAUCUAAAUGAAGACAUUCUUUAGAAAGCAUCAUGGAAAUAUGUGCCAAUUUUUUUUUAAAAAAAAUAUACAAUGUGAAAGACUUUUAAGUAGGUCUUGCAAAUGAAAGCCAGUUUUACAUCCUCAGACUGCCAAAAUGUUAGCUGUUUAUAAUUUUAAUUUUAAGCACUGAUUUAUAUGACUCUUUCUUCUUGGAGAAAUAAAAUUUGCCUAAGGCU
Lemur catta (Ring-tailed lemur) is the source of this 2360-nucleotide long non-coding RNA. RefSeq lists it as uncharacterized. The transcript has 14 exons. The record is from RefSeq and is a predicted model, not a curated record. NCBI's taxonomy places the organism in Eukaryota, Metazoa, Chordata, Mammalia, Primates, Lemuridae.